RNAcentral lists this transfer RNA (87 nucleotides) under Candidatus Portnoybacteria bacterium RBG_13_40_8. Its description in RNAcentral is "tRNA-Ser". It matches the Rfam family "tRNA". From Rfam's summary of the family: Transfer RNA (tRNA) molecules are approximately 80 nucleotides in length. Their secondary structure includes four short double-helical elements and three loops (D, anti-codon, and T loops). RNAcentral also lists the same sequence under 1 other name. The record is from RNAcentral. Lineage: Bacteria; Candidatus Portnoyibacteriota.
GGAAGCGUGCCAGAGUGGUUGAAUGGGCUGGUCCUGAAAACCAGUAGGCCCGCAAGGGUCUCAGAGGUUCGAAUCCUCUCGCUUCCG